RNAcentral lists this ribosomal RNA (747 nucleotides) under uncultured bacterium. Its description in RNAcentral is "bacterial SSU rRNA". It matches the Rfam family "Bacterial small subunit ribosomal RNA", at positions 28 to 776 of the family's 1533-position model. The record is from RNAcentral.
GAUGAACGCUGGCGGCGUGCUUAACACAUGCAAGUCGAGCGAGAAGUUUUGAAAAGAUUCUUCGGAUGAAAUUUAAAAUGGAAAGCGGCGGACGGGUGAGUAACGCGUAGGCAACCUGCCCCAUACAAAGGGAUAGCAUUUGGAAACGAAUAUUAAUACCUUAUGAAACUUAACUAGUGCAUGCUAGGUAGGUCAAAGACUUAUCGGUAUGGGAUGGGCCUGCGUCUGAUUAGCUAGUUGGUGAGGUAACGGCUCACCAAGGCGACGAUCAGUAGCCGACCUGAGAGGGUGAACGGCCACAUUGGAACUGAGACACGGUCCAAACUCCUACGGGAGGCAGCAGUGGGGAAUAUUGCACAAUGGGGGAAACCCUGAUGCAGCAACGCCGCGUGAACGAUGAAGGCCUUUGGGUCGUAAAGUUCUGUUCUAGGUGAUGAAAACUGACAGUAACCUAGGAGAAAGCCCCGGCUAACUCCGUGCCAGCAGCCGCGGUAAUACGGAGGGGGCAAGCGUUAUCCGGAAUUAUUGGGCGUAAAGGGUACGUAGGUGGCCUUUUAAGCGUAGGGUAUAAGGCAAUGGCUCAACCAUUGUUCGCCCUAUGAACUGGAAGGCUUGAGUGCAGGAGAGGAAAGCGGAAUUCCUAGUGUAGCGGUGGAAUGCAUAGAUAUUAGGAGGAACAUCAGCGGCGAAGGCGGCUUUCUGGACUGCAACUGACACUGAGGUACGAAAGCGUGGGGAGCAAACAGG